This 1164-nucleotide unclassified non-coding RNA is filed under the name Anthonomus grandis grandis. RNAcentral's name for it is "uncharacterized LOC126735653". Lineage: Eukaryota; Metazoa; Arthropoda; Insecta; Coleoptera; Curculionidae. The record is from RNAcentral.
AAUAGGGUUGAGUGUCCUAAGGUUAAAGGGCAAUUUUUUUUUUCUAUAACUAGGGAUUUUUUUGUUUAUUUCGCCCCCCAAAAAAAAAAUUAUUGAAAUUCCUUUGACAAUAUUAUUUUGUAUAAUACAAUAUUGUAUUAUUUUCGGUUUAAUGACCCGGCAUAAAUAGGGGUAAUUAAAUAUCGAAUUAUGAAAUAUUUGCAAGACAUAAUUUUAGUUUUUUUUUUUGGUUGGUUACAAACCAGCACAUCGCAAAUUUAAGUUGGCAGCAGUGAACACCGUCAACGUCAAGUGUCAACACUGUCAACUGCUUUGUUUACUAAAAACAGGAAGCGGUGCACUGCAAAUUUGCAAGAUAUUUUUGUCUUUAAAAAAAGGGCUGCAAAUAAAAAAAACAACUAAAUUUUAAAUUGAAGAGUUUUAGUUUCUGUACACUACAGAUACAUCUUUGACAUAUUGAUGCUAGUGUAAUUAUAAUAUGUGACAUAUAAUACCAAUCUCAAUGGGAAUUCAAUCAAGAAGUUACCUUAUUUCAAAACAAAACCUUAACAUAAUAAAUUGUCCCGAAUGAGAUUCCUGCUAGAGAUCUUAGAUGAACUAAGGAUAUUUGAAAACUUCUUUUUAAAAAUUAAGAAUUUAUUAUUUACAAGAGGUUUUUUUAUUGAAUAAUUUUAGAUGCCAGAUCGUGCAUUUCAAAAAAUUUAUAAAAAAACACACAUUGAAAAAAUCUGGUGUGGCACCGAUUUAGGGACAAUACAGAAUACUACAUACUUAUGUAAAAUAAUUAAUCACUAUAAACACAUUAAUAAUUAUAACAUUAAUCAUUAUAACACAUUUAAGAUCAAAUAAAACAGCAUUACAUGUUAAAAAUCCAAUCCUUCAAGUUCAAGUUAUAUACCUAGUUUGGAUAGUCCUAGGGCUAUAGACCAUUUUAAAAUAACAGUUUUUGUUUUGGAUUUUAUAUUCAAAUUUGUUCUGUUCCUAAUAUUUCAUAUUAGCAAAUUUCCUCUAUUGUCUCUUUGUUACUGUAUAUUUAGGUAUAUAUUUUUUUGUUUGAUUUCAUGCAAGAGUCUCCAAAUUUUGCGGCAAUAAAAAAUGACCCUGUAUAUAUAUAUGUGUAAUACUUAAGUAUGUACAAAAUAUAUUUUUGAUCUGUAAACUUAA